RNAcentral lists this non-coding RNA (1242 nucleotides) under Plasmodium falciparum IGH-CR14. Its description in RNAcentral is "Eukaryotic large subunit ribosomal RNA". It matches the Rfam family "Eukaryotic large subunit ribosomal RNA", at positions 96 to 1409 of the family's 3401-position model. Lineage: Eukaryota; Apicomplexa; Aconoidasida; Haemosporida; Plasmodiidae. The record is from Rfam by way of RNAcentral.
AGUUGUAAAAAGACUAUGUGUAUAGAAAUUGUUCUGUUAUAAGGAAGAAGUAAUCUGAGAAUAUAUGGGAUUUAUAUAUAUAUUUAGUUAUCGAAAUAAGUAGGAAUACUUUCCCAUAGAGGGUGAAAGGCCCGUAGUUAAUAAAUAUAUAAAGUUCUUUUUUUUUGGAUAAUUUUUUUUUUAAAGAGUAGUGCUCUUUGAGAUUGGAGUACAAAGAUGUGUGAUACAUUUCACAUAAGGCUAAAUAUAUAUAGGAGACCGAUAGGAAACAAGUACCGUGAGGGAAAGAUGAAAUAGUACUCAGGAAUGAGCAGUUAAAUAGUACCUGAAAUCGUUAAGGUGGAACGGAUUAAGAAAGGAAAAUGUAAGAAGAUAGUAAAUAUUACUCGGCGAGUUUUAUUAAGAUACGAUUUUUUUAUAAAAAGAAACAUGAGUGAACGAGAAUAAAUUAUAAUAUAAUUAUAUUAGAUAGGUAUAGAAUAGAUACACAGGACUAAGGGGGGAGGAGUAGUAAGAAAAAGGGUGCAGUGUAAAAGGGUUAUGCUUGUAUGUUUGAGUAUUCACUGCUUCUUUUUUUUUUUUUCUGUAAUUUUAUAUCUAUUUAAUUAAAGUAUCCUUAGCUAAUAAUAAUUUAUGAAGGAAGAACUUAAUUUAUAUGAGUUUUAAAAGGCAUGAUUAUAUUGUAUAUUAUAUGAUAUAUAUAUAAUUAUGUUUUAACCGAAAUGCGUAUAAUUAUUCUGUUUACUGAGGAAAAGAGGUAAACAAUAGUGUGAACUAAGAAUGGGAUAUUUCUUUUUUCUGAUUGUAAGUUGUUUUUAAAUAGUACUUUUUUAACCCACUCGUCUUGAAACACGGACCAAGGAGUCUAACAAAUGUGCGAGCGUAUGUGAUAUGAAUAAAAACAUAUAUAAAUUUUUAAGUUACCGCGGAAUUAAUGUGAAUUUUUUGUGGAUGCGCCGGACAAUAGUGCAUUUGGUUUCUGGCUUGCAAACAAUACCGAUAAGCAAUAAGAUAAUUAAGUUUAUUUGAGUUUGAUUAUUUUUGUUAGGACCCGAGAGGCUUUUGAACUAAGCGUGAUGAGAUUGAAGUCAGACGAAAGUCUGAUGGAAAAAAAAAAGAUACUGACGCGCCAACCGUUUUUUGUGGGGGGAGAAAACCCCCCCCCAAGAUUAAUCGAAAAAGCCGAUAAGCUGGGUAAUUUCGAAAAGAGGGGGGGGGGGAGCGCUGGGAUGGAGUUGAUAU